UGAAACGAAUCAGAAGAUCUGGAAGCUGUAUCUUUAAAAGGUUCCCUCUGUGGCUGCUGCCAGAUUUUGGCCUCAGGCUUGAGUCCUGAGCUCCCCCAGGGCUUGAGAAAGGGACAAGAGGAAACUGGUGCUGGGCCCUUCCUGAGGUUCGAGGUUGGAGAGCCACCGUAGGGAAGAGAGGGCCCCUCUCACUCCACCUCCUGGCCCGGGGCCUCGGCCUCUCCCUGGGAGAGUUUGGUGCCCACAGAACAAGGGACCAGCAUUGUUUCGGGAGAGAUAACAGGCUCUGUUUCCAAUGUCCCUCCCCACUGGCCCUGACAGAUACCUCGGUGGUUCCUGACAGGAAAUCCCCUUCUGCCUCAUGGAAAACCCAGACAAGGAAGCAGAGCAGCCCCCAUGGACUGUUCAGGCUCCACCCAGCGUUGUAGAAGUAAAAAAAGGUCCAUCAUCUCAGGCCGGGGUCUGGAAGCCCCUGGGCUCUGACCACACUUACAAGGACACUGCAGCCUGUGAGGAGACACACACAGAACACCAGGCCUCUUACCGUGGCAUCGGCACCAUAGCUUACCAGGUCCACAGUGGUUUUGACUCUUACAUCAACUUGAUGAAGUCUGCAGAGGAACAGGUAUCGCUCCCUCCGUUUGGCAAAUGAGAAAACCACAGCCAAGAGGCUCUGCCGGAGAUCUAACUCAAGGACCAUGACUCCAGUCCUUGCCUCUGCCACAGCCCCAGAGCGCAGCUGAGUCCCAGUGACAGAGUCGGACACUCACGCCAAGCACACCCUGAGCCGGGCCACCUCCCAACCCAUCCCACCCCCUCCCUGUUGGGGUGAACGGGUCCUGCCUGGGGGCAGCAGGUCGUGCGUGGAGGCCUGAAGGAUGCCGAGUGAUGACUCGAGCAGCCGUCUUCUGCUGUGGGGCCUUCCUAGGCCUUCUGAGAGACCAGGUGAAACCAGGAGGCCCUGCCCCAAGCCUUGCCCUGUCUUACUUCAGUAGGUAGAGCUAGGCUCAGGAUGGAACCCUGGGGUUGGCCAAGAUGCCUGGGGCCUCGCUUCUAGCUGCCUCUGCAGCCUGGGAAACCUCUGUCCUCACUUCUGUGCUGGCCUCACCAUGGAGGGGGCUUUCUCUCCCACCUUCCCUACCAAGGACCCCUUUAAUCCCGAAACUGUGUUUUUACCAUACAAACCACAAUUGCUGUGUAACGCUUCCUUCAUUUUCUCAGUUUGUGCUGACCAAGGCUGUGAGAGCCAUCAGACCCCUGGACAGUGGGGACAACCCAUGCCAUGUUCUGCACUGCAGACUCCCACACGAGCCUGCACGUCCGUCCCCUUUCUCGACACUCCUUUGUAAGUCAUUGUUUGACAUUCUUACCCACUCAUAUUCCUUUCCUAUGACUGCUGUAACAAAUCACCACAAACUUGGUUUGAAACAAUAGACAUUUAUCCUCUCACAGUUCUUGAGGCCAGAAGUCUGGACCGAAGGUGUUGGCAGGGUUGGUUCCUGCCGGAUGCUCUGAGGGAG
RNAcentral lists this long non-coding RNA (1520 nucleotides) under Equus asinus (donkey). RNAcentral's name for it is "lncRNA (ENSEASG00005025546.1)". Lineage: Eukaryota; Metazoa; Chordata; Mammalia; Perissodactyla; Equidae. The record is from RNAcentral.